This 238-nucleotide ribosomal RNA is filed under the name Pycnococcus provasolii. Its description in RNAcentral is "partial Bacterial small subunit ribosomal RNA". It matches the Rfam family "Bacterial small subunit ribosomal RNA", at positions 1026 to 1265 of the family's 1533-position model. Lineage: Eukaryota; Viridiplantae; Chlorophyta; Pseudoscourfieldiophyceae; Pseudoscourfieldiales; Pycnococcaceae. The record is from RNAcentral.
ACCUGAAAACAGAUGUUGCAUGGCUGUCGUCAGCUCGUGCCGUGAGGUGUACGGUUAAGUCCGCCAACGAGCGCAACCCACGUCGUGUGUUACCAGCGAGAGAGUCGGGCACUCACACGAGACCGCCGGUGUAAGCCGGAGGAAGGUGAGGAUGAUGUCAAGUCAGCAUGGCUCUUACGAGUGGGGCUUCACACAUGCUACAAUGGGCGCAACAAAGGGCCGCAACACCGCGAGGUAG